CCCUUAGAUGUUCUGGGCCGCACGCGUGCUACACUGAACGGUUCAAUGGGUAAGGUAGUGCGAAAGCAUGACCUAAUCUCGAAAUCCGUUCGUGCUGGGGAUAGAAGUUUGCAAUUAUCCUUCUUGAACGAGGAAUACCUUGUAAGCGUGAGUCAUCAUCUCACGCUGAAUACGUCCCUGCCCUUUGUACACACCGCCCGUCGCUCCUACCGAUUGAGUGUUCCGGUGAGGCUUUGGGAGAAUGGCCUCAACAUGAGUUUAUCGUGUUUUGCCGUUUGAACUUAGUCAAACCUUAUCACUUAGAGGAAGGAGAAGUCGUAACA
RNAcentral lists this ribosomal RNA (323 nucleotides) under uncultured eukaryote. RNAcentral describes it as "partial 18S ribosomal RNA". It matches the Rfam family "Eukaryotic small subunit ribosomal RNA", at positions 1470 to 1796 of the family's 1831-position model. The record is from RNAcentral.